RNAcentral lists this ribosomal RNA (305 nucleotides) under uncultured bacterium. Its description in RNAcentral is "bacterial SSU rRNA". It matches the Rfam family "Bacterial small subunit ribosomal RNA", at positions 333 to 630 of the family's 1533-position model. The record is from RNAcentral.
UUCGGCCUACGGGACGUAGCAGUGGGGAAUAUUGCGCAAUGGGCGAAAGCCUGACGCAGCGACGCCGCGUGAGGGAUGAAGGUCUUCGGAUCGUAAACCUCUGUCAGCAGGGAAGAACGGUCACUGUGCUAAUCAGCAGUGAAUUGACGGUACCUGCAAAGGAAGCACCGGCUAACUCCGUGCCAGCAGCCGCGGUAAUACGGAGGGUGCGAGCGUUAAUCGGAAUUACUGGGCGUAAAGCGCUCGUAGGUGGUAUGUCAAGUCAAGGGUGAAAUCCCCGCGCUCAACGUGGGAGCUGCCAUUGA